GGCUGUCCCAUUGACAGCCGCUAGAGGCGCUUGCGUGUUUCUCACUGUGAUUUUCACAGUGAGAGCACGCCAGCGUCCAUAGGAAAGCAUUAUGAAUGCUUUCCUAUGUGACCGGCUGAAUGCGCGCACAGCUCUUGCCGCGCGUGUGCAUACAGCCGACGGGGAGGAGAAGAGGAGGAUCGGAGGACUCUCCGCCCAGCGGUGGAAAAAGGUAAGUUUUACCUCUUUCCAGAGCCGGGCGGGUGGGGGUCCCUGAGGGUGGGGGCACCCUCAGGGCACUAUAGUGCCAGGAAAACGAGUAUGUUUUCCUGGCACUAUAGUGGUCCUUUAAAGGACUACUACAGACACCCAGAUCACAUCAGCUCAAUUAAGUUGUCUGGGUGUCAGGUCCCUCUAGUUUUAACCCUGCAGCUGAAAACAUAGCAGUUUCAGAGAAACUGCUAUGUUUCACUGAGGGUUAAUCCAGCCUCUAGUGGCUGUCUCAUGGACAGCCGCUAGAGGAGCACACUGAACGUCCAUAGGAAAGCAUUGAGAAAUGCUUUCCUAUGGGCGGUUUGAAUGCAUGCGCGGUCGCAUUCGGAGCUGAGAGGCUGAGGGAUCCUCAGCGCCAAGGGAGUCCGGCGCUGGAGAAAGGUAAGUGCUGAAGACACACACACACAC
Non-coding RNA from Pelobates cultripes (western spadefoot toad), 660 nucleotides. Lineage: Eukaryota; Metazoa; Chordata; Amphibia; Anura; Pelobatidae. The record is from the annotation of a GenBank genome assembly.